UGUUGUCCCCCUUGAGCAGGAGGGGAGACUGCCUUGCACUGGAUUCUUUGUCCUAGGAGACAGGCUGUCAUCUUCUGAGAAGAGGCACGAAGAGCAUGAAAGAAAGAAAACAGCUGCAGAAAGCAACUCUCCUCCGCUUGAAACUGAGGAAACGCAAACGUGAUACGAACCUGUGCGAGACGUGACUGACCAAUAGCCCUGGUACCUGCUGGGGACCGAUGUCGGCCAGGAGACAGCAGCAUUGGCAGUGAACGCAGCUUCCCCAAAUCGCUCUUUCAGCGGUGGGGCUGGUGCAGGGAAGGAAAGUGUGAUUGGUGAGACAGGGUCGUUGCUGCACUUAAAGCCUCCAACUGCAAUCACUGCGAGCAGAUGAGGAAGUGUCACAGCACACCGUGAGUCGAGCCCUGACCAUGCAGCGCACCUGUGGGCUCCUACUGCUCGCCCUGCUUGUCCUCUGCAUGCCCCUUGGCCAGGCGGACAAGGUGGAUGCGGUCACGGCUAUCACCUCCACCGCUCCACGCCCCGCCGCAAGCAACGUGAGCCCCCUCCGCAGCAGCCCACCCCUCCUCUCCCUCACCCUGGCGCUGCUGGCUGUGGCUUUCUUCUUGCGGCUGCGCUGACCCAGAGGGGGGCUACCGUGCACCCCCACCCCAAAGAUGACACCCCCAGGAUGGCAUCCCCUGCACCGGCACCUCCUCGGACCCUCGCAGGACGGAGGAGCGGCCAGCGUGCCGCCAUCGCUUCCUUCCCUGCCUCCCUCUGCUCCGUUCUCCCGUUCCCCUCCGGCCUCUAAAUGAAACCCCAAAGCUUUCCCAGCUCGGAAGCCGGCCUGCUGCGAGGUUCUGAGAAAUAAAAGCGACUGGCGUAGAGGCCUCCGGCUUGUCUCCGCUCUGGGGGCUG
Molecule: long non-coding RNA, 900 nt
Filed under: Aquila chrysaetos chrysaetos
Lineage: Eukaryota; Metazoa; Chordata; Aves; Accipitriformes; Accipitridae
Description: lncRNA (ENSACCG00020009451.1)
Source: RNAcentral